Molecule: long non-coding RNA, 1371 nt
Organism: Aquila chrysaetos chrysaetos
Lineage: Eukaryota; Metazoa; Chordata; Aves; Accipitriformes; Accipitridae
Exons: 3
Source: RefSeq, a predicted model, not a curated record
CGCCUCUCCCUCAACCUCUGUUCUCCGGACGGAGCAGGGCUCGCCAUCCUCUUCGAGGUUGCGGGUACCUGCCCGAAAACAGACUUUGCGGGGUGGCAAAGGACAGAGCCAGGAGAGCCGCGCUCCAGCCUGUCCGGGGUUUUCUCUCGUUCCUCGCACAACGGAACGCGGCUCUGCCCCUUCGCGCCCCGAAAACCGGAGAGGAUCGCCGCGGCAGGGGCCGAAGCCCGAUUUCGUAAAGGCCGCGGGGGUCAGGGGUUGCGCCGGCGCCAUCGUUUGAAGCGCGGGUCUCUCGCUCACCGCCCGCACCGCGAAUCCUCAAGUCCCCGCGAAAAAGGCCGUCUCGGCGCGUCCGAAAGGAAGGGAGAGACGGUGAGCGGGCUUGAACGCUUCGGUGGGAGCCCGUCCAAACCUGCAGACUGGACACGGGCACGCGUGAGCCCCACCUGCCCCUGGGGACGGCAGGGACACUUUGCACUGAGGGUGUCCUUUCUGUUAAUCUAAUUAGAGCGCUAAAGAAAUUAUGCCCCCUCCCACUCUUGAGUGGGUGUUAACCCGCACGCUUUGCAGCCGCGUUGAUCAGAUCCCUGAAAACAAACUCGAUCGACAAUUCUCCGGGAGUUCUGCUAUUUAAAAACAAAGCAAAAUGACACAGAUCAUUCUACGGUGACCUAGCUUAGAGCCCAGCUCCGAACAACUCCGGCGUCAGCACAACACGCUCCAGAGCGGAAAGCAGAAAAUUUGACUUUACCACCAGCUACGGCAUCCCUGCUCAGCCCGAACCAAGGCCGGCACCCAGCAGCAGGGACAGAAGCCGAGAGGAUCACAGGGCUGGAGAAACUUCAGCCCAGCCUUCCAGCCUUUUCCUGGUGCCAGUGAAGCUGGCCAGGCAGAAUCCUACAAGGCUGAUAAACCACGUUGUGACAAACUGUUCCGGUUCGCCCACUUUACUGGUGCACAGUUUCCAACUAGGGCCAGAGCUCGCACAAUCCUAUUUUUGCUAAUCAGAGCAGGAACAGAACAGCUGCAUCACCAGUAACACAGAGCUCCCUCAACUGCAGAUCGGGGUAUUACCUCUGAAAAUCAUGGCUCUGAUGAUCAACAGUGCUUGAGGAGGAAUGAAACCUGAGCAACCAGGGAUGUGGCUCUUCUGCACCUGGAAACAACAAGUCUGCGUUUGGCACAGCGCUGCAUCACGGCUAAAGAGCUUGUUCGCAUCACCACAGGGACGUAACUCCUCUGGCUCUGGAGCUUACGGGGCUCUGCCCCAGACAGGGGAUCUUUGCCCUCCCCUGUACUGAACGGUACGGGGAUGCCCUCUUGCUUCUUCUGAAUAUUUGAUUGAAAACAAUAAAAUAAUCUUCACAUGUG